Non-coding RNA from Peromyscus eremicus (cactus mouse), 411 nucleotides. The record is from the annotation of a RefSeq genome assembly. NCBI's taxonomy places the organism in Eukaryota, Metazoa, Chordata, Mammalia, Rodentia, Cricetidae.
GUGAUGAUUACUGAACACAGAACAUCCAACAUGGAGUUGGGACUGAUCUGGGUUUUACUUAUUGCCCUUUUAAAUGGUGUCCAGUGUGAGGUGCAGCUGGUGGAGUCUGGGGGAGGCUUGGUGCAGCCUGGAAGUUCCCUAAAACUCUCCUGUGCAGCUUCUGGAUUCACUUUUAGUAACUACUGGAUGGACUGGUUCCGCCAGGCUCCAGGGAAGGGCUUGGAGUGGGUUGGUGUAAUUAAACACAAACCAGAUAACUAUGCAACAUUCUAUGCGGAGUCUGUGAAAGGCAGAUUCACCAUCUCAAGAGACGAUUCCAAAAGCAGCCUCUACCUGCAAAUGAACAGCUUAAAAGUCGAAGACACCGCCAUUUAUUACUGUACUAUAGACACAGUGAGAGACCUUCAGUGA